CGCAAGACUGAAACUCAAAGGAAUUGACGGGGGCCCGCACAAGCGGUGGAGCAUGUGGUUUAAUUCGAAGCAACGCGAAGAACCUUACCAGGUCUUGACAUCCCGUUGACCACUGUAGAGAUAUAGUUUCCCCUUGGGGGGCAACGGUGACAGGUGGUGCAUGGUUGUCGUCAGCUCGUGUCGUGAGAUGUUGGGUUAAGUCCCGCAACGAGCGCAACCCUUGAUCUUAGUUGCCAUCAUUUAGUUGGGCACUCUAAGGUGACUGCCGGUGACAAACCGGAGGAAGGUGGGGAU
RNAcentral lists this ribosomal RNA (294 nucleotides) under Lysinibacillus fusiformis. RNAcentral's name for it is "partial 16S ribosomal RNA". It matches the Rfam family "Bacterial small subunit ribosomal RNA", at positions 887 to 1180 of the family's 1533-position model. The record is from RNAcentral. Lineage: Bacteria; Bacillati; Bacillota; Bacilli; Caryophanales; Bacillaceae.